GAGGGGAUAGCUCAGUGGUAGAGUGCCUGCUUAGCAUGCACAAGGUUCUGGGUUCAAUCCCUAGUACAUCCA
Molecule: transfer RNA, 72 nt
Organism: Camelus ferus (Wild Bactrian camel)
Lineage: Eukaryota; Metazoa; Chordata; Mammalia; Artiodactyla; Camelidae
Rfam family: tRNA
About the family: Transfer RNA (tRNA) molecules are approximately 80 nucleotides in length. Their secondary structure includes four short double-helical elements and three loops (D, anti-codon, and T loops).
Source: Rfam